Long non-coding RNA from Carcharodon carcharias (great white shark), 240 nucleotides. RefSeq lists it as uncharacterized. The record is from RefSeq and is a predicted model, not a curated record. Lineage: Eukaryota; Metazoa; Chordata; Chondrichthyes; Lamniformes; Lamnidae. The transcript has 3 exons.
GCCGAAGCUCAAUGAGCAACUCCCGGGAGCAAACAACAAUGUUUUGGAUCCCGUUUUUCAGGACAAAUUCGUGGAAUAAGAUCACUCACCAUUGAGUAUCCGAGUCUUUCUGAGAGAGAGGGGCCAAUCUGAAUUUACUUAUGGUGACCGUCAGAUCUUAAUCUGUGCUGGACAAGUGUCACAGGUGACACAGAAUAGAAGGCCACAGAGCAGACAUGGCAGAGGGCAAGGCUGCCUGGG